GGGCCCGCACAAGCAGCGGAGCAUGUGGUUUAAUUCGAAGCAACGCGAAGAACCUUACCAGGACUUGACAUCGUCUGAAUCAUCCGUAAUGGGAAAAGUCCUUCGGGACAGACAGACAGGUGGUGCAUGGUUGUCGUCAGCUCGUGUCGUGAGAUGUUGGGUUAAGUCCCGCAACGAGCGCAACCCUUAUUGCUAGUUGCCAUCAUUAAGUUGGGCACUCUAGUGAGACUGCCGGAGACAAUUCGGAGGAAGGUGGGGAUGACGUCAAAUCAUCAUGCCCCUUAUGUUCUGGGCUACACACGUGCUACAAUGGGUGUAACAACGGGAAGCGAGCUGGUGACAGCAAGCCAACCUCUAAAAAGCACCCUCAGUUCGGAUUGCAGGCUGAAACCCGCCUGCAUGAAGUUGGAGUUGCUAGUAAUCGCGAAUCAGCAUGUCGCGGUGAAUACGUUCCCGGGCCUU
This 462-nucleotide ribosomal RNA is filed under the name uncultured bacterium. Its description in RNAcentral is "bacterial SSU rRNA". It matches the Rfam family "Bacterial small subunit ribosomal RNA", at positions 917 to 1382 of the family's 1533-position model. The record is from RNAcentral.